GCCUUCGGUGGUAUAGUGGCUAGCACCUAUGAAUGCGGAUUAUGUGUCGUGGGUUCGAAUCCCGGCCAUGGACU
Halocaridina rubra (Hawaiian volcano shrimp) is the source of this 74-nucleotide non-coding RNA. Lineage: Eukaryota; Metazoa; Arthropoda; Malacostraca; Decapoda; Atyidae. The record is from the annotation of a GenBank genome assembly.